RNAcentral lists this ribosomal RNA (412 nucleotides) under Austrochloritis porteri. Its description in RNAcentral is "partial 16S ribosomal RNA". It matches the Rfam family "Archaeal large subunit ribosomal RNA", at positions 1900 to 2656 of the family's 2987-position model. The record is from RNAcentral. Lineage: Eukaryota; Metazoa; Mollusca; Gastropoda; Stylommatophora; Camaenidae.
CAAAAACAUAGCUAUAUGUACUAAUAUAUAGUGAUUUCUGCUCAAUGAGGUUUAAAUAGCCGCAGUACCCUGACUGUGCAAAGGUAGCGCAAUCAAUUGGCUUUUAAUUGGAGUCCGGUAUGAAAGAAAAUAUAAGGGGGCUUCUCUAUCAGUGAUAGUUUAUGAAUUUACUAAUUAAGUGCAAAUACUUAUAUUUAAAUAAUAGACGAGAAGACCCUAGAAAUUUUAAGAAUUAGUCUUUUUGUUGGGGCAACAAAGUAGUAAGUAUUAAUCUACUAUUGCUACAUGAAAGGUAUAUCUUGAAAGAUUAAAUUACUCUAGGGAUAACAGCAUAAUUUAUUAAAGUUUGUGACCUCGAUGUUGGACUAGGGAAUUAACAUUCAGAAGACUAAUAAUAGGCUCUGUUCGAGCA